UCCUGGUCCCCAAGCUGAGGGGCGGAGCACACCCUCUUCAGUCCCAGCUCGCCAGAAUUGGGGCCAUUACGUCGCAGGGAAUGAGCUCGACUCAGACCGGUACGCUCAAGACUCUCCCGGCGUUUCUGUGGCACAAAGCGCGGACAUGGUGUUGGCUUUGUCUUUGGACUGGAAUUUGUAACCCAACUUGGGCACCGGCCACAAGGCUUUUACUGCGCAAGUGGGGUGACGUAUUCUGCGCCGUUUCCCUCAGGCCGACCUUGAUGUUGUCGUUAGCCGAAGAGAGCAGGUCACACAAAAUCUGGCGAAAACAAACAGCAUGUGAUCUGUCUGUCAAUUAUGUAGUCCUCAACAACUGCAGAAACCCUGAAAAUCCUCUGACAAGAUAACAAUUGGAAUUGGUGUAAACAAAAAUAUUGUCACUGUCCAAUAAAGAGCUGGGGAAAUCUUCGUCCAUAGCAAGGCAAUUGAGGAAGACUUGGAGGGAUUGAUCUACUUCGCCCAUCUCGUGAAGCACCAUGGCUUUCCUAAACAAAGCCUACCAGGACAUAACAUCAAAUUUAGGAGGUUGUUACAAUCAC
Syngnathus typhle (broad-nosed pipefish) is the source of this 581-nucleotide long non-coding RNA. RefSeq lists it as uncharacterized. NCBI's taxonomy places the organism in Eukaryota, Metazoa, Chordata, Actinopteri, Syngnathiformes, Syngnathidae. The record is from RefSeq and is a predicted model, not a curated record. The transcript is spliced from 3 exons.